This 248-nucleotide ribosomal RNA is filed under the name Vibrio parahaemolyticus. RNAcentral's name for it is "partial 23S ribosomal RNA". It matches the Rfam family "Bacterial large subunit ribosomal RNA", at positions 1412 to 1660 of the family's 2925-position model. Lineage: Bacteria; Pseudomonadati; Pseudomonadota; Gammaproteobacteria; Vibrionales; Vibrionaceae. The record is from RNAcentral.
UAGUCGAUGGGAAACGGGUUAAUAUUCCCGUACUUCUUACAAUUGCGAUGGGGGGACGGAGAAGGCUAGGUGGGCCUGGCGACGGUUGUCCAGGUUCAAGUGCGUAGGCUUAAGAGUUAGGUAAAUCCGGCUCUUUCUAAGGCUGAGACACGACGUCGAGCACCUACGGGUGUGAAGUCAUUGAUGCCAUGCUUCCAGGAAAAGCCUCUAAGCUUCAGAUUGUAAGGAAUCGUACCCCAAACCGACAC